Molecule: ribosomal RNA, 301 nt
Filed under: uncultured bacterium
Lineage: Bacteria
Description: partial 16S ribosomal RNA
Rfam family: Bacterial small subunit ribosomal RNA
Source: RNAcentral
CAGCAGCCGCGGUAAUACGAAGGUCCCGAGCGUUGUUCGGAAUCACUGGGCGUAAAGGGAGCGUAGGCGGCGUGGUAAGUCAGAUGUGAAAUCCCGGGGCUCAACCCCGGAACUGCAUCCGAUACUGCCAUGCUAGAGGAUUGGAGAGGUAGCUGGAAUUCUUGGUGUAGCAGUGAAAUGCGUGGAGAUCAAGAGGAACACCCGUGGCGAAAGCGAGCUACUGGACAAUAACUGACGCUGAGGCUCGAAGGCCAGGGUAGCGAAAGGGAUUAGAUACCCGGGUAGUCCCUGUCUCUUAUAC